Molecule: long non-coding RNA, 2116 nt
Organism: Ostrea edulis (European flat oyster)
Lineage: Eukaryota; Metazoa; Mollusca; Bivalvia; Ostreida; Ostreidae
Exons: 5
Source: RefSeq, a predicted model, not a curated record
AAAUUUGAAAAAAAUAAAUUUUAGUGUUCCAGUUUUUCGAAGAACCAAGAUGGCUGACUUCACAGCUCGAGGCUUCGACUGUUGUUCGUAAAUGAAUCUGCGCUUCGCAGGUUUCGUGAUGAGAGUACAAAGAUGAGGGGGAAUAGCCAGUAUGAGAUAUUACACGAUAUGUCUGAAGCUGGCUAUAAAGACUCCCUACCUGUAUACGAUGUUUACACAAUCGCUGAUGAUGUGCCAUACUUCAAAUAAAAAAAUCCUUCAUCUUUUAUUUAGAAAAGAAAUUCAACACACAUAACAGGAUCGCUGAUGGUUAUGAACAUCCAUGAAAGAGAGACACAGGAACAAGUGGAUAUAACGAGGAACGGUCAAUCGCAAAUCCUAUAAAGAUAGAAUUAAGAGAAGGACAAAGACGGAUUAAAAUAGUAACGACCAAAAGAAAGAGAUGGGUAAACACGGACCCCUGGACACACCAGAGGUGGGAUCAGAUGCCUAUGAGGAGCACUGAUGCUCUUAAAAAGCAACGGAAGCCAUGCAGAGUUCCAGUAGUUUUUCCAUGAACCAGUCUUAAGCUAAAUGAUAAAAGGAACAAACGUCGACUUCCCAGCAAUAGACAAAUGGAGGAAUCAUUAACAAGCAGUUUUAAACUAUGAAUAUGCCUGUUAGAGGCAAAUCUCUCUAUGAAAGGUGAAGAUAACAAACAGUGAUCAAUCUCAUAACUCCUAUAAGUUAUACAAAAUAGAGAGAAAUAUAUAUUGGUAACAUUGAAACAGUUAAUUUAUUAGAAUCUACCCCGAAUAAUGCGAAUAAUGACAGCAAUGACAAUCUCUCUCUCUCUCUCUCUCUCUCUCUCUCUCUCUCUCUCUCUCUCUCUGGAUCGUCAGUUUCGAUUUUCUUGUAAGACAAUAUCAACAUCCAAAAUUUCUGUUGAAAAUGUUAUCUCUGAUGAUAAAAAGUGAAGACAAGGAACAGUGAUAAAACUCCUAUAAAGAAUACAAAAUUAAGAGAAGGGUAAACACGGACCCCUGGGCAUACAAAAGGUGGGUCAGAUGUCUAGGAAGAAUAAACAUCUCUUGUUGACCUGUCACACCUGCCGUGAUCCCUGAUCAGAUAAAUGGAGUAAUCCGUAGUAAAAAAAAAUCAGCAUGUCAAAACAGCCUAACAAUUGGUAUGAAACACGUCGGACAGUAUUUGACUCAAUGAUAGCUUGUAUUCGCAAAUUAGUUCAUUAUCACGACCAUAGAAUUUACGAAAUGGUGACUUUAAAUGAGACUGUUGAAAACCCCGCAACAUCAACCUAUUUGUCAGUAACCUGACUCGAUUUAAACAUUGAUCAUAUGCAGAACAUGAUCUCACGUAUCGAAUCAGUCAUAAAUAUCAUAUGCAGGUUAUAAUGUAAUAUUACUACACAAAUAUGGGAAGUUGACGAUGGAGAAGCUGAAAUCAUCCCGUUCGUCAUAAAGCUGUGUUUUUUAGUUUGCUGUUGACAUCUAUGUUCAAUAAAAAUCCAAAAAUGAAGCAGAUUUUAUUUUUUAAUAGAGGAUACCUUACACUUAUUUUGUUGUUUCAUGUUUGCGCAGUCUUGGAGAAACUCAUCUCCUUUUGAAUUAUGUUUACAUCAGUUAAGAACUUGUCUAUGCAAAUCAGCUUUUUUAACGCUUAUGAAAUUAAGACAACAUAAAAAAACCUUUGAACUUACAGUGUAGUAGGUCAGUCUUCGUGUCACAAACAACAGAGAAAAUACUAGUAUUUGUAAAAACAAUAGAGUCAAUAUGAGAAAGCCCAAACCAUCCAUUGCUUAACAGUCAACAUUCUCAGCCUACAAAAAAAAAAAAAAGAAAAAAAAAAAAAAAUACACUGUUAAAAUAUGUUGUUGGUUUAGUACCCAGUGAGCUUUUGCCCUGUGUCUUCCUGUGGAGUUUCUGCUACUGACCACCAGUUCGCUGAACGUAGCCCAGUGAUAGAUCUGCAUGAACCUGUUGGUGUUUGCAACCAAAGAUAAAACUGUAAAUUUUCCUACAUUUUGUGUUGUUUGAUCGCCAAAUAUUCAACAAAAGAGUUUAUAUUGAACGCUUGAUUCUUGUUGGAUAAAAGAAAAACGUUUUGAAGCGACCUUUGA